AGGCACGACACGGGGUGCCGCCCGAGCAGGCGGCUGAGAGAACACCCGUCGAACCUGAACUAGUUCGCACUAGCGGAGGGAUUGUCGCCUUGAUGCACA
RNAcentral lists this non-coding RNA (99 nucleotides) under Kocuria palustris. Its description in RNAcentral is "TPP sequence". It matches the Rfam family "TPP riboswitch aptamer (THI element)". Rfam says of the family: Vitamin B(1) in its active form thiamin pyrophosphate (TPP) is an essential coenzyme that is synthesised by coupling of pyrimidine and thiazole moieties in bacteria. The previously detected thiamin-regulatory element, thi box was extended, resulting in a new, highly conserved RNA secondary structure, the THI element, which is widely distributed in eubacteria and also occurs in some archaea. Lineage: Bacteria; Bacillati; Actinomycetota; Actinomycetes; Micrococcales; Micrococcaceae. RNAcentral also lists the same sequence under 1 other name. The record is from RNAcentral.